Molecule: ribosomal RNA, 450 nt
Filed under: uncultured bacterium
Lineage: Bacteria
Description: partial 16S ribosomal RNA
Rfam family: Bacterial small subunit ribosomal RNA
Source: RNAcentral
GUGGGGAAUUUUGGACAAUGGGGGCAACCCUGAUCCAGCAAUGCCGCGUGCAGGAAGAAGGCCUUCGGGUUGUAAACUGCUUUUGUACGGAACGAAACGGUCCGGGUUAAUACCCUGGGCUAAUGACGGUACCGUAAGAAUAAGCACCGGCUAACUACGUGCCAGCAGCCGCGGUAAUACGUAGGGUGCAAGCGUUAAUCGGAAUUACUGGGCGUAAAGCGUGCGCAGGCGGUUUUGUAAGACAGGCGUGAAAUCCCCGGGCUCAACCUGGGAAUUGCGCUUGUGACUGCAAGGCUUGAGUGCGGCAGAGGGGGAUGGAAGUCCGCGUGUAGCAGUGAAAUGCGUAGAUAUGCGGAGGAACACCGAUGGCGAAGGCAAUCCCCUGGGCCUGCACUGACGCUCAUGCACGAAAGCGUGGGGAGCAAACAGGAUUAGAUACCCCGGUAGUCC